This 535-nucleotide ribosomal RNA is filed under the name uncultured bacterium. RNAcentral describes it as "bacterial SSU rRNA". It matches the Rfam family "Bacterial small subunit ribosomal RNA", at positions 92 to 630 of the family's 1533-position model. The record is from RNAcentral.
CGCGUGGCGAACGGGAGCGUAACACGUGGAUAACCUUCCCUCAGGUGGGGAAUAACCCACUUGAAAAUUGGGCUAAUACCGCAUAACAUGACGAUGCCACAUGGUGUUGUCUUCAAAGCCGCAAGGCGCCAGGAGAGGGAUCCGCGGCCGAUUAGCUUGUUGGCGAGGUAAUGGCUCACCAAGGCAUUGAUCGGUAGCCGGACUGAGAGGUUGGCCGGCCACUCUGGAACUGAGACACGGUCCAGACUCCUACGGGAGGCAGCAGUGGGGAAUCUUGCACAAUGGACGAAAGUCUGAUGCAGCAACGCCGCGUGGGGGAUGAAGCUUUUCGGAGUGUAAACCCCUUUCGACCCGGAAGAAUGCCAGCAAGGGCUUGACGGUACGGGUAUAAGAAGCCCCGGCUAACUACGUGCCAGCAGCCGCGGUAAUACGUAGGGGGCCAGCGUUGCUCGGAAUUACUGGGCGUAAAGGGUCCGUAGGCGGUGUGGCAAGUCGGGAGUGAAAUCUCUGGGCUUAACCCAGAGGCUGCUUCCGA